Molecule: ribosomal RNA, 253 nt
Filed under: uncultured bacterium
Lineage: Bacteria
Description: partial 16S ribosomal RNA
Rfam family: Bacterial small subunit ribosomal RNA
Source: RNAcentral
UACAGAGGGUGCAAACGUUGUUCGGGAUUACUGGGCGUAAAGCGCGUGUAGGCGGUCAUGUAAGUCGGGCGUGAAAUCCCACGGCUCAACCGUGGAAGUGCACUCGAAACUGCGUGACUACAGUCCUGGAGAGGAAGGUGGAAUGCUUGGUGUAGAGGUGAAAUUCGUAGAUAUCAAGCGGAACACCGGUGGCGAAGGCGGCCUUCUGGACAGUGACUGACGCUGAGACGCGAAAGCGUGGGGAGCAAACAGG